RNAcentral lists this ribosomal RNA (428 nucleotides) under Bacteroidota bacterium. RNAcentral's name for it is "Bacteroidetes bacterium partial 16S ribosomal RNA". It matches the Rfam family "Bacterial small subunit ribosomal RNA", at positions 355 to 776 of the family's 1533-position model. The record is from RNAcentral. Lineage: Bacteria; Pseudomonadati; Bacteroidota.
UAGGGAAUCUUCCGCAAUGGACGCAAGUCUGACGGAGCAACGCCGCGUGAGUGAAGAAGGAUUUCGGUUCGUAAAACUCUGUUGUUAGAGAAGAACAGCGCAUAGAGUAACUGUUAUGCGUGUGACGGUAUCUAACCAGAAAGCCACGGCUAACUACGUGCCAGCAGCCGCGGUAAUACGUAGGUCCCGAGCGUUGUCCGGAUUUAUUGGGCGUAAAGCGAGCGCAGGCGGUUAGAUAAGUCUGAAGUUAAAGGCAGUGGCUCAACCAUUGUAGGCUUUGGAAACUGUGUAACUUGAGUGCAGAAGGGGAGAGUGGAAUUCCAUGUGUAGGGGUGAAAUGCGUAGAUAUAUGGAGGAACACCGGUGGCGAAAGCGGCUCUCUGGUCUGUAACUGACGCUGAGGCUCGAAAGCGUGGGGAGCGAACAGG